Molecule: long non-coding RNA, 929 nt
Filed under: Trifolium pratense (red clover)
Lineage: Eukaryota; Viridiplantae; Streptophyta; Magnoliopsida; Fabales; Fabaceae
Description: long non-coding RNA (TPRA_LNC010915)
Source: RNAcentral
UUAUAUCAUUUAAAAAAAUUAAACUUGUUUUGUUACAUAAUUAUAUAUUAAUUGCUAUAUAUAAUAUAUAAUAGAUCGAUACAAAUAUUUUGUUACACAAUGAAAUAAUGACUUCUUCUGCUAAUAAAUUCUACACCAUCUUUAUGUUCCUAUCUCUUGUCAUCAUUCUCCUUAUUUCCACAAGUGGUACGAACUAACUAUUGCAAUUUAUAAUAUUUCUGAGACACUGAUUAAGAAAAUAAAAUAAGAAAGUUUUAUAUUGAAAACAUUAUCUUUUACAUUUUUAAGAAGUUAAUUAUAAUGUACAAGAUUUUGCUUAAAAAAAAUUAUACAAGUUUUAAUUUUUUUAUAUUAUAUAUGUAGUUUUUUUAACUAGUACCUCAGAAACCUUAGUUAGUAUUUUCCUUAUAAUAUAUAUUCUCACGAGCUUCUUUUUAUGUUUAGAGCCGCAUGGAAUGUUUAGACGUCGUUGUAGAGAGAGAAGUCAAACAUCGAAAAAAGGGCCUUGUAACGACUCGGAAUGUAAUUCAGGGUGCGUAAAGUUGGAGAAUGCAAGGUUUGGUGCUUGUCAAUUUCCUAGUUGUCCUGGACCUUUUGGUGUUUGUCAAAUCUUGUAUUGUUACUGCUACUUCAAUCGCAGCGAAUCUACGCACCCACAUUAUUUUAAACAUGUUUUACACUUCGAUAAGAACCUACAAAGAGGUUAAUAAAAUUGUUGUUGGUUUAGCUAAUCUUGAUUGUAAGGUAGUAAAUGAGAUUCAAGUGUAUACUAUUUUAUUAAGAAGGUUUAAGUAAAUGUAUGUUAUUUAUUAUUUUUUUUGUUGUAAUUGUAUGGUUCAAAAUGAUAGGUCUAACAUAUUCUCACCUUACUUUUUACCAAAAAUUAUUUGAUUUCUUGCCCAAUAAACUUUGCCAUGUCUUUCAAAAAA